RNAcentral lists this transfer RNA (73 nucleotides) under Trichonephila clavata. It matches the Rfam family "tRNA". From Rfam's summary of the family: Transfer RNA (tRNA) molecules are approximately 80 nucleotides in length. The record is from Rfam by way of RNAcentral. Lineage: Eukaryota; Metazoa; Arthropoda; Arachnida; Araneae; Nephilidae.
GUCCCUGUAGGACAAUGGAUAGCCCGUCGGACUUUUAAUCUAAAGAUUGUGGGUUCGAAUCCCACCUGGGAUG